Molecule: ribosomal RNA, 793 nt
Filed under: uncultured archaeon
Lineage: Archaea
Description: bacterial SSU rRNA
Rfam family: Archaeal small subunit ribosomal RNA
Source: RNAcentral
ACGGCUCAGUAACACGUAGUCAACCUAACCUAUGGACGGGAAUAACCUCGGGAAACUGAGAAUAAUGCCCGAUAGAACAUUAUGCCUGGAAUGGUUUAUGUUCCAAAUGAUUUAUCGCCAUAGGAUGGGACUGCGGCCUAUCAGUUUGUUGGUGAGGUAAUGGCCCACCAAGACUAUUACAGGUACGGGCUCUGAGAGGAGUAGCCCGGAGAUGGGUACUGAGACACGGACCCAGGCCCUAUGGGGCGCAGCAGGCGAGAAAACUUUGCAAUGUGCGAAAGCACGACAAGGUUAAUCCGAGUGAUUUGUGCUAAACGAAUCUUUUGUUAGUCCUAGAAACACUAACGAAUAAGGGGUGGGCAAGUUCUGGUGUCAGCCGCCGCGGUAAAACCAGCACCUCAAGUGGUCAGGAUGAUUAUUGGGCCUAAAGCAUCCGUAGCCGGCUCUGUAAGUUUUCGGUUAAAUCUGUACGCUUAACGUACAGGCUGCCGGGAAUACUGCAAAGCUAGGGAGUGGGAGAGGUAGACGGUACUCGGUAGGAAGUGGUAAAAUGCUUUGAUCUAUCGAUGACCACCUGUGGCGAAGGCGGUCUACCAGAACACGUCCGACGGUGAGGGAUGAAAGCUGGGGGAGCAAACCGGAUUAGAUACCCGGGUAGUCCCAGCUGUAAACUAUGCAAACUCAGUGAUGCAUUGGCUUGUGGCCAAUGCAGUGCUGCAGGGAAGCCGUUAAGUUUGCCGCCUGGGAAGUACGUACGCAAGUAUGAAACUUAAAGGAAUUGGCGGGGGAGCAC